Long non-coding RNA from Ipomoea nil (Japanese morning glory), 184 nucleotides. RefSeq lists it as uncharacterized. The transcript is spliced from 3 exons. The record is from RefSeq and is a predicted model, not a curated record. NCBI's taxonomy places the organism in Eukaryota, Viridiplantae, Streptophyta, Magnoliopsida, Solanales, Convolvulaceae.
AUAAACUCCCAAAUCCUACUUCAUUUUUUACUCACUAUGACAUGACAUGCCUUGAUUGCUUAAUUUAGUAAGGGGUCAUAAUGUUUAUCCAUUCUUUUUUUCUUCUUCCUCUAAUCAAAUUUGAACACAAGUGGGAGAAAAAGUUGGGAGGAUGAUUUUGGGAGUGCAUUUAAAAAUUUUAAAA